UCUGCCCUAAUACGGCGGACAUAUGACGGUACCGUAAGAAUAAGCACCGGCUAACUACGUGCCAGCAGCCGCGGUAAUACGUAGGGUGCAAGCGUUAAUCGGAAUUACUGGGCGUAAAGCGUGCGCAGGCGGUUAUAUAAGUCAGAUGUGAAAUCCCCGGGCUCAACCUGGGAACUGCAUUUGAGACUGUAUAGCUGGAGUACGGCAGAGGGGGAUGGAAUUCCGCGUGUAGCAGUGAAAUGCGUAGAUAUGCGGAGGAACACCGAUGGCGAAGGCAAUCCCCUGGGCCUGUACUGACGCUCAUGCACGAAAGCGUGGGGAGCAAACAGGAUUAGAUACCCUGGUAGUCCACGCCCUAAA
Molecule: ribosomal RNA, 360 nt
Filed under: uncultured bacterium
Lineage: Bacteria
Description: bacterial SSU rRNA
Rfam family: Bacterial small subunit ribosomal RNA
Source: RNAcentral